RNAcentral lists this unclassified non-coding RNA (355 nucleotides) under soil metagenome. RNAcentral's name for it is "partial contains 5.8S ribosomal RNA, internal transcribed spacer 2, and large subunit ribosomal RNA". The stretch from base 1 to 120 matches the Rfam family "5.8S ribosomal RNA", at positions 35 to 154 of the family's 154-position model. The record is from RNAcentral.
GAUGAAGAACGUAGCGAAAUGCGAUAGGUAAUGUGAAUUGCAGAAUUCAGUGAAUCAUCGAAUCUUUGAACGCACAUUGCGCCCAUUAGUAUUCUAGUGGGCAUGCCUGUUCGAGCGUCAUUAAGUCCACUUAAGCCUAGCUUAGUGUUGGGAGACUGCUCCAGUGGUGCUACCCUGUAGCUACCCUGCAGCUCCUUAAAGACAGCGGCGGAGUCGUGUUAUCCUCUGAGCUUAGUAAAUCAUUCUAGCUUUCGAGAGUAUCACUUCACCUGCCGUUAAACCACCUAAUUUUUAUGGUUGACCUCGGAUCAGGUAGGAAUACCCGCUGAACUUAAGCAUAUCAAUAAGCGGAGGA